AGAACCUGCCUGGAGAGAGGAGAACUUUGACUCUCCCCACCCUCAGCCCCACCCACCCAGGGCAGGAGUUGAGGGUACCCCUACCUGAAACCAGAUUAGCCCUGAGCUAACAUCUGCUGCCAGUCCUCCUCUUUUUGCUGAGGAAGACCGGCCCUGAGUCAACAUCCCCGCAACUCUUCCUCUACUUUAUAUGUGGGACACCUACCAUAGCAUGGCGUGCCAAGCGGUGCCGUGCCCGCACCCAGGAUCUGAACCAGCGAACCCCAGGCUGCCAAAGUGGAACAUGAAAACUUAACCACUGCACCAUUGGGCUGGCCCCUUAAGUUAUUUUUGUUGAGUUCAGUAUUUGUAAGAAUUUUACUAAAAUUUUAAAAUAAUCUUUCCCCAACAUGACAAAAAUCCUCCAAAAUGUUCACAUAUAGAAGUAUUUGAGUUUAGAAACCUACAAAUCUAAUCAUAAUUAUUAUCUGUGCUACAUACAUGCAUUAGGUAUUGACUCUAAAAUAACGAGUAAUAUUAAGCACUUCUUACCUUAUCCCAAAAUAUUUUUUUCAUGGCACCUGCUAACAUUAAAAAAAAAUCUUGUGUAUUUCAUCCCUUGAGUAACGUGUAAUAGUUUUUUGGUGCUGAUAUUUGAUUUCUGUAUAAAUGUUCUUCCACGAUGUUACUGAAUUUUGCCAAAUGAAUAAUAUUCUGAUUUCCACACUCUUAAAAUUGGGUGUCUGAAUGCUAGCUAUUGCCUCACCAAAACAGAAUCAUUUAUAUAAUGUUUUUAACAAGAGCACACCAAUAUCUUUUCCCAUUUUAUAUAGUCUCUCUUCUGCAGCACCACCUUUCGGGGUGUCCCAUAUAUCUCGGUUGCUCUUUUCUGUGUUUUCUCUCCUUUUUUUGCCUGUACUUUAAUCUCAAUACUUUCUGCUGCCUGUCUUCCAGUUCAUUAAACCUCUGUUCUGCUGUUUCCAAUCUGCUAUUAAUCCCAUCAAAUGAAUUCUUUUUUAAUAACAACUUGAUUGAAGUACUAUACAUACAAUAAACUGUACCUAUUCAAAGUGUAAAAUUUGAUGAGUUUAGACAUAUGUAUACAUCCAUGAAAACACCACCAUAAUCAAGACUCAGAUCGUUCUCAUCACCCUCAAAAGUUUCUUUGUGCCUCUUUACCUCUCGUUUUUCUCUCCACAUCUGGUCCCAGGCAACCACUGAUCUGCUGUCAUUAUAGAUUAGUUUGCAUUUUCUUGAAUUUUAUAUGGAAUUAUACAGUACGUAUUCUUUUGUUUUUGGCUUCUUUCUCUCAGUAUAAUGAUUUUGAGAUUUGUCUACAUUGUUUAGUGUGUUGGUGAUUCAUCCCUUUUAAUUGCUGGGUAGUAUUCCAUUUCACGGAUUUAAUGCAUUUUUGUUCAUCCAUUCACCUGUUGAUGGGUAUUUGGGUUGUUUCCAGCUUUUUGAUACUGUGAAUAAAGCUGCUAUAAAUAUUCUUUUCCAAGUCUUGGUGUGGACAUAUGUUUUCAUUUCUCUUAGGUAAAUACUUAUGUGAUAGUUUUUUUUUAGGUGUUAACUUUUUGAAGUGAAUAACUUGUCCUCAGUUAUUCUACACUAUUCAACACUAAUCUAAGUGCUGCUAUGAAGGCAUUUUUUGUAGAUAUGAUUAAAGUCCAUAAUUGGUUGACUUUAAGUAAGGGAUAUUAUCCUGGAUAAUCUGGUUGGGCCUGAUUUAACCAGUGAAAAGUCCUGAAAAGCAGAGUUCAGGUUCUCCCGAAGAAGAACUUCUGCCUUGGGACAGCAGCUUCAGCCCUUGCCUGAGUCUCAACCUGAUCUUCCUGAUAGCCCGUCCUAUGGAUUUCAGAUUUGCUUAACCAGUCCUCCUCCCCAC
Molecule: long non-coding RNA, 1867 nt
Organism: Equus caballus (horse)
Lineage: Eukaryota; Metazoa; Chordata; Mammalia; Perissodactyla; Equidae
Source: Ensembl